AAUUAUAUUACUGCUUAAUGUUCAUCCAUGCCCUUCUUUUUACAAUAAUGAACAUGUAUAAUAAUCUAAAAAUUUUA
Molecule: small RNA, 77 nt
Filed under: Arabidopsis thaliana (thale cress)
Lineage: Eukaryota; Viridiplantae; Streptophyta; Magnoliopsida; Brassicales; Brassicaceae
Description: ATSL288740
Source: RNAcentral